UGGAUGACAUCAGCCUAACCCACUGCACUGUGGCCUUGACUGAGUUCAAAAGGACAUUCACACCCUCAGCCUUCCUUUACUGAGGGUCAGAGAGAAAGAUGUUAGCAUCUGCUGAAUCUCAAGUAACACACUGCUUGUUUGCAAGUAUUUGCUGCCUUGGUUUGUUCUGGAACUGGACCUGCAAUAUCUCCGAGGGAUGCACAACCCAGAUCCUCCUUCAAGGAUUGAUGGGAUGUAGAGCUGCAGGGAGUGCAAUCAGCAGAUGGCCUCCAGCUGUGGACUCCUUCAGUGCUGUCUCAGCUGCAGAGAGCCACCCUAUCCAAUUCAAGUCCUUCCCAGAGCAGUGCACAUCCAGUAACUGAAUGUAGAUAUCUAAGAAAUGUCUCUACCGCAAACUCCACCUCAGCAUCUGCUUCUGUAGAUUCCAGCCUGGCAUAAAGG
Molecule: long non-coding RNA, 441 nt
Organism: Cercocebus atys (sooty mangabey)
Lineage: Eukaryota; Metazoa; Chordata; Mammalia; Primates; Cercopithecidae
Exons: 4
Source: RefSeq, a predicted model, not a curated record